AUUUGUAUGUACAUAUGUAUGUAUGAACAUACAUAUGUAUGUAUGAACAUACAUAUGUAUGUAUGAACAUACAUAACCGGACUUAUGUAUGUAUGUUCAUACAUACGUAUGUAUGUUCAUGCAUACAUAAGUCCUGUUACGGGCCAAAGACCUCCAUCUACAGGUACCAUUCCGCAAACUUGCACCCCGGUUUGUAGGACCUUAUACGGUGGAGGGCAUCAUCAACCCAGCAUGUGUUAGUCUGUCUCUACCCCCCUCUGUGAAGCGACAUCCGGUGGUCCAUGUAUCCCAGAUUAAGCCUGUCUCCAGUUCUCCACUCUUUUCCCCUGACCCUACCCCUCCUAGAAUUCUGGAUAACGGUGACCCAGUUUGGACCGUCAAGGAGAUCCUUGGGGUCCGUCGGCAAGGUAGGGGCCUGGUAUUUUUGGUAGAUUGGGAGGGUUAUGGUCCAGAGGAUAGAUCCUGGGUGCCGGCUUUCUACCUUGCUGACCCCACCCUUCUGGAGGACUUCUAUCAGGUCAACCCUGGAGCUCUCCGCCGCUCGUCGAGAGCCUCGCAUAAGAGGGGGGGGCACUGUUACGGCGCUCGCGCAGUCUGCUUCUCCCUCCUCGGCAGGAGCUCCUCGAAGCUCCGCUGCAAGCACCGCAGGGCACGCCCCCGCACGCGCCACGCAGACCGCGGCCACGCGCCUCCACAGCCGGCGGAAAUCAUCAAUCAACGCACCUGGUCUUGACGAGAAGCAGCAGCAUAAAGGCUCACUCCACUGACUACUCCACGCUGGAACAAAGCCAUGAUUCAUACCUCCGUGUCUCCGCAGUGAGCCGUGCGCCUCACCUGCCCAUCUUCCCCCUGGACUCUGACUGCCUUCCUCGACCCCCGCACUCGGAUCUGGACUUCUGGACGCCUCUCUCCUGCCCCCACGGACCUCGCUCGGAUCACCAACCUCUUUUGCUUCGCCCCUCUGGACUUCUUUGCUGUCACAACCAACACACACUCACAACAACCUCUUUUAACUUAUAUUUGGUUAACUUCUACACACAGCCCUGCAUCCACACACAUAGUAGCAUACACACCCUACGUCAGGGGUGUCAAACUCAAAUACAGAGCGGGCCAAAAUUUUAAACUGAACAAAGCCGCGGGCCAAGGUUACCCUUGACUUUUGGACUGUAGACUAUUUGUUAUUAUUAUUACCCAUACUUACCUUUUUAACUAUAAUUUAAUUAACCAGCUACCACUUUACUUUACUCUGUGUGGGGGAGGUGAUACACCCCCACAUAAUGUCCUUCCCCACCCUUGCUCACUUGUGCCUGGUAAGCCAAUAAGACCUAGACUGUGAUUGAACCCAUGAACCCUUUGAUUGGGAGCUAGCUGUUUUACCAUUCAGCUAUCUGUGGUCUUAUCGUGACCAUAUUUCGGGCCCCAAUGACAUAUAUAUUUGAGAACUGUCUCAGUAAACUUUCAUUUAAAAGAUUAAUUGCUCUGAGUGGAUAUUUAGAGGUUUUAGAGUGACCUGACUGGGAUUGAACCCGUUGAUUGGAAGGUAGCUGCUUUAACCAUUCAGCUAUCCUUGGUGUUCUUGAAAGGAGAUUUCCGUCCCCAAUGACAUAUAUAAUUGAGAACCUUUAAACUAUCAUACAAAAGAUUUAUUUAUUCGACUAGAUCUUUACUAGUUUCAGAGUGAUCUGACUGGGAUUUGAACCCAGUCCCCUUUGAUUGGGAGGUAGCUGCUUUAACCAUUCAGCUAUCCUUGGUAUUCUUGAAGGGGGAUUUCCGUCCCCAAUGACAUAUGUAAUUGAGAACCUGCCUCAGUAAACUAUGAUAUUAAAGAGUAAUUU
Molecule: long non-coding RNA, 1835 nt
Organism: Nerophis lumbriciformis (worm pipefish)
Lineage: Eukaryota; Metazoa; Chordata; Actinopteri; Syngnathiformes; Syngnathidae
Source: RefSeq, a predicted model, not a curated record